RNAcentral lists this ribosomal RNA (253 nucleotides) under uncultured bacterium. RNAcentral describes it as "partial 16S ribosomal RNA". It matches the Rfam family "Bacterial small subunit ribosomal RNA", at positions 524 to 776 of the family's 1533-position model. The record is from RNAcentral.
UACGUAGGGGGCAAGCGUUGUCCGGAAUUAUUGGGCGUAAAGCGCGUGUAGGCGGUCCGGUAAGUCCGCUGUGAAAGUCGGGGGCUCAACCCUCGGAUGCCGGUGGAUACUGUCGGGCUCGAGUACGGAAGAGGCGAGUGGAAUUCCUGGUGUAGCGGUGUAAUGCGCAGAUAUCAGGAGGAACACCAAUUGCGAAGGCAGCUGGCUAGACCUGGAUUGACGCUGAGGCACGAAAGCGUGGGGAGCGAACAGG